UACGGAGGGUGCAAGCGUUGUCCGGAAUCACUGGGCGUAAAGGGCGCGUAGGCGGCUCGGUAAGUAGGGGGUGAAAUCCUGCGGCUCAACCGCAGGGCUGCCUUCUAAACUGUCGAGCUCGAGCACGGUAGAGGCAGAUGGAAUUCCCGGUGUAGCGGUGGAAUGCGUAGAGAUCGGGAAGAACAUCAGUGGCGAAGGCGGUCUGCUGGGCCGUUGCUGACGCUGAGGCGCGACAGCGGUGGGGAGCAAACAGGAUUA
RNAcentral lists this ribosomal RNA (258 nucleotides) under uncultured bacterium. Its description in RNAcentral is "partial 16S ribosomal RNA". It matches the Rfam family "Bacterial small subunit ribosomal RNA", at positions 524 to 780 of the family's 1533-position model. The record is from RNAcentral.